UUUUCGAUAAGCACCAACAUAAUGGGUGGCUAGCCAUGCACCACGGUGUGGGGUCCUAGUGUGGGUGAGUGUGACAAGGCAAGAUGUUUCCCGUGCAAUCGUCUUGUGCCGAACAAAAGAAGGUGAGGCGGGGUGCUAACUUGGCGUCAAAGUGGAGAAAAUGAGAAAAGGUAGUGUUGGCGUGACAAGGGAUUUAUGGUCCGACUUGGGCUAGCUCGGGCUGGUUUAGGGAGAUUUGUUUAGGUAGGUUGUUUAGUUAGCAGGCCGGAUAUGUUGGGUUCCGGCCCAAGUUAUUUUAAACUAGAUUUGGGGUUUAACCAAUUCUAAUUUGAAUUAAAUUCAAGCUUGAAAGGCACUCAAAAAAUGCAAACAAAUUCAAUUAAAAUCUAAUUCAAGCAUGCAACCUAUGGACACAUAUUUAAUGGGCACUUUAGUUUACUAGGAAUUUUAUAAAGGAGAACUACUUUUUAAGAGGCAAAAGAGUUCAUGAACCAUAACAAACACGAAAAAUUUUGACGAUCCAAAUUUUUGCACAUAUAACAUAUACCACAAAAUCGUGGGAUGUUAC
This 568-nucleotide long non-coding RNA is filed under the name Setaria viridis. Its description in RNAcentral is "long non-coding RNA (SVIR_LNC010907)". The record is from RNAcentral. Lineage: Eukaryota; Viridiplantae; Streptophyta; Magnoliopsida; Poales; Poaceae.